CUGCCUCCUACACUGUUUUACCCCAGUGGGAAGCCAAGUCUAAUCUCAGCUGCCGUAUCAUGUCCAGGACCAGUUGUCAUGUCAUGAGGACACUCAAGCAACCCUAUGAAGAAGUCCAAGCAGUCAGGGACAAAGACCACUUGCCAACAGGAAGCACUAUCCUACAAGAACUUGAGUGAAACACCUCGGGAGUGCAUCCUCCAGCCUCAGUCAAGUCUCAGGUGUCUGUACUUCUGGCUGACAUCUUGACUACAGCCUCAUAAGAGAUUCUGGUCUGAACGAAUUCACUAGGCCACUCCUGGAUUCUUGAUGCUCAAAGACUGAAUGAGAUUAUAAAUGUUUAUUACUUUGAGAUUAUAAAUGUUUAUUACUUCAAGUUGCUAAAUUUCAGGGGUAAUUUGUUGUUAUGCAACAAAAAUAAUACAAU
This 427-nucleotide long non-coding RNA is filed under the name Homo sapiens (human). RNAcentral's name for it is "HSALNT0127684". The record is from RNAcentral. Lineage: Eukaryota; Metazoa; Chordata; Mammalia; Primates; Hominidae.